UGGGGAAUAUUGCACAAUGGGCGCAAGCCUGAUGCAGCCAUGCCGCGUGUGUGAAGAAGGCCUUCGGGUUGUAAAGCACUUUCAGCGAGGAGGAAGGGUAGUGUGUUAAUAGCACAUUGCAUUGACGUUACUCGCAGAAGAAGCACCGGCUAACUCCGUGCCAGCAGCCGCGGUAAUACGGAGGGUGCAAGCGUUAAUCGGAAUUACUGGGCGUAAAUCGCACGCAGGCGGUUUGUUAAGUCAGAUGUGAAAUCCCCGCGCUUAACGUGGGAACUGCAUUUGAAACUGGCAAGCUAGAGUCUUGUAGAGGGGGGUAGAAUUCCAGGUGUAGCGGUGAAAUGCGUAGAGAUCUGGAGGAAUACCGGUGGCGAAGGCGGCCCCCUGGACAAAGACUGACGCUCAGGUGCGAAAGCGUGGGGAGCAAACA
RNAcentral lists this ribosomal RNA (427 nucleotides) under uncultured bacterium. Its description in RNAcentral is "partial 16S ribosomal RNA". It matches the Rfam family "Bacterial small subunit ribosomal RNA", at positions 355 to 774 of the family's 1533-position model. The record is from RNAcentral.